RNAcentral lists this ribosomal RNA (447 nucleotides) under uncultured bacterium. RNAcentral describes it as "partial 16S ribosomal RNA". It matches the Rfam family "Bacterial small subunit ribosomal RNA", at positions 29 to 523 of the family's 1533-position model. The record is from RNAcentral.
AACGAACGCUGGCGGCAGGCUUAACACAUGCAAGUCGAACGCCCCGCAAGGGGAGUGGCAGACGGGUGAGUAACGCGUGGGAAUCUACCCAUCUCUGCGGAAUAGCUCUGGGAAACUGGAAUUAAUACCGCAUACGCCCUACGGGGGAAAGAUUUAUCGGGGAUGGUUGAGCCCGCGUUGGAUUAGCUAGUUGGUGGGGUAAAGGCCUACCAAGGCGACGAUCCAUAGCUGGUCUGAGAGGAUGAUCAGCCACAUUGGGACUGAGACACGGCCCAAACUCCUACGGGAGGCAGCAGUGGGGAAUAUUGGACAAUGGGCGCAAGCCUGAUCCAGCCAUGCCGCGUUGGUGAUGAAGGCCUUAGUGUUGUAAAGCUCUUUCACCGAUGAAGAUAAUGACGGUAGUCGGAGAAGAAGCCCCGGCUAACUUCGUGCCAGCCGCCGCCGUAA